RNAcentral lists this long non-coding RNA (201 nucleotides) under Hordeum vulgare. RNAcentral describes it as "long non-coding RNA (HVUL_LNC012169)". Lineage: Eukaryota; Viridiplantae; Streptophyta; Magnoliopsida; Poales; Poaceae. The record is from RNAcentral.
AUGAGGCCUUUGGCUUGAGACUUGGUUUCUUCACCAGAACCUACUUCUAAGGUUUUUCUAUAGCAGAAGCCUCAACAAGAGAAGAAGUGACUGCUGAAGCUGCAGCUGCAGAGUCCUCAUUAAACUUUGUGACAACAACUUUUGCUUUUUUCUGCAGCUUAGACAAAUACUUGUCUUUUUCAUCAGGUCAAUCCUCAAUUG